GGAUGCGAUCAUACCAGCACUAAUGCACCUAAUCCUAUCAGAACUACGUAGCUAAGCGUGCUUUUGUGAGAGUAGUACUAGGAUAAGUGACCUCCCUGGAAGUCCUCGUCUUGCAUUGC
This is a ribosomal RNA of Arabidopsis thaliana (thale cress), 119 nucleotides long. NCBI's taxonomy places the organism in Eukaryota, Viridiplantae, Streptophyta, Magnoliopsida, Brassicales, Brassicaceae. The record is from Rfam.